GNCUNNNNGGGANUUGACAGGUUUAGAAAUAGACUCUCCUUCGGGCAAUUUUCAAGGUGCUGCAUGGUUGUCGUCAGCUCGUGCCGUGAGGUGUUAGGUUAAGUCCUGCAACGAGCGCAACCCCUGUCACUAGUUGCUAACAUUUAGUUGAGGACUCUAGUGAGACUGCCUACGCAAGUAGAGAGGAAGGUGGGGAUGACGUCAAAUCAUCACGGCCCUUACGUCUUGGGCCACACACGUAAUACAAUGGCCGGUACAGAGGGCAGCUACACAGCGAUGUGAUGCAAAUCUCGAAAGCCGGUCUCAGUUCGGAUUGGAGUCUGCAACUCGACUCUAUGAAGCUGGAAUCGCUAGUAAUCGCGCAUCAGCCAUGGCGCGGUGAAUACGUUCCCGGG
This 395-nucleotide ribosomal RNA is filed under the name Chryseobacterium sp. AZTITEMP90. Its description in RNAcentral is "bacterial SSU rRNA". It matches the Rfam family "Bacterial small subunit ribosomal RNA", at positions 978 to 1378 of the family's 1533-position model. The record is from RNAcentral. Lineage: Bacteria; Pseudomonadati; Bacteroidota; Flavobacteriia; Flavobacteriales; Weeksellaceae.